Long non-coding RNA from Quercus lobata, 359 nucleotides. RefSeq lists it as uncharacterized. The transcript is spliced from 3 exons. Lineage: Eukaryota; Viridiplantae; Streptophyta; Magnoliopsida; Fagales; Fagaceae. The record is from RefSeq and is a predicted model, not a curated record.
UUUUUUUUGGGUGAAAAGGUGUGUUUAACGUGGGUCUAAACUUGUACCAAACAUGCCUUUCUCUCUGUUUCUGCUUUACUGCCUUUACAAUCUCUCAACAAUGGAGGGGUCUGGGUGAAAAGAUUUGGAAGGUUCUCUCUCUGAGUUCACUCUUGCUGAGAUCAAAGAAAUGGGGAAAAUAUUCAAGGAUGUAGGGGAACAAUCACUGGGUCAGGAGUUUUGCCAAGAUAUUGCAACCAGCUUUAGUCACUCAGCUAGUCGUAAGGGAAAAUCUGCCAUAAAAUGGGAGCAGCUUUUUAAUUCAAACUCUACCAAUUUUCUUUGUUUUUGAAACUCUUAUAACUAUAUCGUUCUUAUUG